This 382-nucleotide ribosomal RNA is filed under the name uncultured eukaryote. RNAcentral's name for it is "SSU rRNA". It matches the Rfam family "Eukaryotic small subunit ribosomal RNA", at positions 587 to 972 of the family's 1831-position model. The record is from RNAcentral.
AGCUCCAAUAGCGUAUACUAAAGUUGUUGCAGUUAAAAGCUCGUAGUUGGAUUUCUGGUUGCAGUCGUCGGUCGUUCCCAAACGGGUUCCGUACCUGAUGCGCUGUGUCCAUCCUCGGAGUUCUGCCGUCUGGCAUUAAGUUGUUGGGCGGACGGUCUCCGUCAUUUACUGUGAGCAAAAUAGAGUGUUCAAAGCAGGCUUAGGCCAUGAAUACAUUAGCAUGGAAUAAUAAGAUAGGACCUUGGUCUAUUUUGUUGGUUUACAUUCCAAGGUAAUGAUUAAUAGGGAUAGUUGGGGGUAUUCGUAUUCAAUUGUCAGAGGUGAAAUUCUUGGAUUUAUGGAAGACGAACUACUGCGAAAGCAUUUACCAAGGAUGUUUUCA